GACGAACGCUGGCGGCGUGCUUAACACAUGCAAGUCGAACGGAAAGGCCCUGCUUUUGUUGGGUGCUCGAGUGGCGAACGGGUGAGUAACACGUGAGUAACCUGCCCUUGACUUUGGGAUAACUUCAGGAAACUGGGGCUAAUACCGGAUAGGAGCUCCUGCUGCAUGGUGUGGGUUGGAAAGUUUCGGCGGUUGGGGAUGGACUCGCGGCUUAUCCGCUUGUUGGUGGGGUAGUGGCUUACCAAGGCUUUGACGGGUAGCCGGCCUGAGAGGGUGACCGGCCACAUUGGGACUGAGAGACGGACCAGACUCCUACGGGAGGCAGCAGUGGGGAAUAUUGCACAAUGGGCGGAAGCCUGAUGCAGCAACGCCGCGUGCGGGAUGACGGCCUUCGGGUUGUAAACCGCUUUCGCCUGUGACGAAGCGUGAGUGACGGUAAUGGGUAAAGAAGCACCGGCUAACUACGUG
RNAcentral lists this ribosomal RNA (468 nucleotides) under uncultured bacterium. Its description in RNAcentral is "partial 16S ribosomal RNA". It matches the Rfam family "Bacterial small subunit ribosomal RNA", at positions 28 to 507 of the family's 1533-position model. The record is from RNAcentral.